GGUUUGUAGCUCAGUGAUAGAGCGCUUGCCUCACACACAUGAGGCCCUGGGUUCAAUCCUCAGCACCA
Molecule: transfer RNA, 68 nt
Filed under: Marmota monax (woodchuck)
Lineage: Eukaryota; Metazoa; Chordata; Mammalia; Rodentia; Sciuridae
Description: tRNA.Val
Rfam family: tRNA (bases 5-65)
About the family: Transfer RNA (tRNA) molecules are approximately 80 nucleotides in length.
Source: RNAcentral